RNAcentral lists this ribosomal RNA (497 nucleotides) under uncultured bacterium. Its description in RNAcentral is "partial 16S ribosomal RNA". It matches the Rfam family "Bacterial small subunit ribosomal RNA", at positions 28 to 507 of the family's 1533-position model. The record is from RNAcentral.
GAUGAACGCUGGCGGCGUGCCUAAUACAUGCAAGUCGAGCGAACAGACGAGGAGCUUGCUCCUCUGACGUUAGCGGCGGACGGGUGAGUAACACGUGGAUAACCUACCUAUAAGACUGGGAUAACUUCGGGAAACCGGAGCUAAUACCGGAUAAUAUAUUGAACCGCAUGGUUCAAUAGUGAAAGACGGUUUUGCUGUCACUUAUAGAUGGGUCCGCGCCGCAUUAGCUAGUUGGUAAGGUAACGGCUUACCAAGGCGACGAUGCGUAGCCGACCUGAGAGGGAGAUGGGCCACACUGGAACUGAGACACGGUCCAGACUCCUACGGGAGGCAGCAGUAGGGAAUCUUCCGCAAUGGGCGAAAGCCUGACGGAGCAACGCCGCGUGAGUGAUGAAGGUCUUCGGAUCGUAAAACUCUGUUAUUAGGGAAGAACAAAUGUGUAAGUAACUAUGCACGUCUUGACGGUACCUAAUCAGAAAGCCACGGCUAACUACGUG